This 2553-nucleotide long non-coding RNA is filed under the name Vitis vinifera (wine grape). RNAcentral's name for it is "long non-coding RNA (VVIN_LNC000750)". The record is from RNAcentral. Lineage: Eukaryota; Viridiplantae; Streptophyta; Magnoliopsida; Vitales; Vitaceae.
AAACCAUGGUCUAUUAUUAAAUAGAUACUCAAUACAUCUAGAUUGCAAGAAACUAAACCCAAAAAGGAUUACAGAAGGUAAAAUAAAAGCACUCCCUCCCCUUGAGGACCUUCAUAAUAGAUUUGAAGUAGUGGGUGAGGUUGAACUAGAGAGGGUAGUAAUGCACCCACCUCUUGAACAUGUAGUAACAUUCUCUUCUAUAGUACUCUGGAGCCGUGUGGCCUGCACCCUGUUGAACCCAAAACCACAUAUCUUCAAAUUCUAUUAUUUACUUUCAAUUUGGCAGAGAAAAAGACUAGGAAAUGUAUAGAAUAUGGUUGUGCUUGCCUUCACGGUCGCAUAAGUCAAUCGGUACCCAUUUUGUGAAUGCUUCUCCGUGUAUCUACAUCAAACACCAAUGAUAACUUAGCCAUGAAUUUUCAGAAAAAUCACUAACUGCAUUGGAGACUUGGGAAAAAUUCUUCAAACCUACCCUGCAAUUUCACCAUCAACAAACCAUGGCCGCCAAGGACUAACAAUUGUCAAAUUGAGGAGUCUAAUCCAUUCUACCGCCCCCGGGUAUGGAACAACCAAGUCGCGAUCGCCACUGCAGGAGUAAAAAAAUCAACCAUAUUAACCGCUAGGGUUUGAAUACUUCUUGUUUUAAUUGGGAGUUGAAGUGGUGCUUACACUUCUACAAGAACUUCCAGCUGCUUUUUACUGAGAUAACGGUGAACAUCGAUUACGCUCUGAACAUCUUUUGUGUACGACAAGCUCUUGUUGCACCUCGACCAAUAUUUUACAGUUCCCUGAUCCGACCAUAAAACAAAAAAAGGGAUGAAAAAAUGUUCAGUACUCUAAUACCAUUCAUCACUGAGAGUUGAUCAGGUAUUCACAUACCACUCGGACAUUUAAUGCUUCUUGGACACUUUCAUCAUUAGCCCAGAUGUAGGACAAUGCAUAAUUGAAGUUCUGCAAGAAGAUAUGAACCAGUUGAUCAUCAGCCAGCCAUCUACAUUUCCAAAGAAAAGUAUAAAUUCAGAAGGAGGGAUAUGAGGUUUUUUUAGUACCCGGCACCAGAACUCUUCAAGUUUUGGUGUAUUAAGAAUGAAGUCUCCAGGCUUCUCAUCCAGAGAUCUUCGGGUUGGUUCUGGGGAUUCAAAGACACACUUGGGCUCCAAAAUAUCAUUACGGAACAAGUCUUUGACACACUGCAAAUUCGAACAUAGAGAUGAUAGACAAGUUAAAAGGAAGAAUGAAUUAAUUAACUAUGUGAUUGAUGGAACCCGAAAAAACAAAUAAUCAUGACUUACAUGUUGGAUUUCACCAAGACUACUUAAGCACUUUGUGUUAGAUGGAUCUACAUCUGCAUAGUUCCCAUUGCAGUUUUCUUUUGCAGCCUGGAAAAGCACAGACCAUUAUAAGCUUUACAGUUCAAUCCUAGUUUUAGUAGGGCUACACUAGAAGUUGUAACAAUAAAAGAAGAUAAGAGGUUUUUGAGGGAAGAAAUUAAUACCAAAAUAUCAAUUAAGCAAAGGAAAUUUUGGCAAACAAAAGACAAGAAGAAGUGAAGGGAGAUAAAAAUGAUGUGAUUUUUGUUUAUCAAAAUACUAGAAAUUAUUGGUUUUUUGGGGUAGUAUUUUCAGAAACAAUUUUAAAAAUCUCUUUUGAGAAUUAUUUUCUUUUAAAAAAAAAUUAUUUUACUCUUUAAUAUUUCAUAAAAAAGCCUAUUCAAAAACUUUAAAUAUUCUUAACAUGUUUUUUAUGUUGUUAAAUAUUUUUGUAAAGUAAUUUUUUUAUUAUAAUACUAUUUUAUUUUCAAUCAUUAUUUAUAUUUUUUUAAGAAUAGAAGUUUAUUUAUUUUUAAUUAAUAAACAUAUUUUUUAUUCGUUUAUUCUUAAAAAAUAAAAAUAAAAAUAAAAACUGUUUUCAAAAACAGCUUCUCAAAUUAAGGGAAGAUUGCUCGAGAUUACCUCAUAGAGCUCAUCGGAUAUAAGGGCCAACCGGUGAGCAAAUACAACUUUUGCAUUUGUAUUGAUGUUUUCAUCUGUUGUCGGGCUCCCAACCAAAUACCCCUAAAACCAUCAUUGAAAGAGAAUCCAAAUCAAUUAAUUGGGAUCACCCCAAUAAUAAACUAAUGAAAUCAUUCAAAGUUGGUAGGUCAGUGGAGUACUUGUAGGUUAAAUCGUGGCACAGUGUGUUCAUCUAUAGCUGCAAGUCCAUAUACCAAAAUCUGAGCUCAGUACAAUAUUCAUACAUGAAAGAAUAGCAAGUUGCAUGCAGUGACAAAAUAUAGGUUAAUUACCAUCUACUAUAUGUUUGACGACUAGAGGAACGAUUAUGCCUGAAUAUGAAUCACCACCCACAUAGAGUUGAAGAGGGAGGUAUUUAGGGUGUUCAAUCAACCACUGCACCAUUAUUCAUACAUAACUUAGUCAAAUAAACUACGGAAUUAAUCAAUAUUUAUUACUUAAUUAACUUAAUUAAUUACCUUCCUCAGGAACUCAUAGGUUUCAAGGGCUGAAUCUGUGUCUGAACUAGACCAACCAUCCGCGGAUGUUGAGUAGGAGAAGC